Molecule: ribosomal RNA, 427 nt
Filed under: uncultured bacterium
Lineage: Bacteria
Description: bacterial SSU rRNA
Rfam family: Bacterial small subunit ribosomal RNA
Source: RNAcentral
UGGGGAAUUUUGGACAAUGGGCGCAAGCCUGAUCCAGCCAUGCCGCGUGCAGGAUGAAGGCCUUCGGGUUGUAAACUGCUUUUGUACGGAACGAAAAGGUGCCUUCUAAUAAAGGGCGCUCAUGACGGUACCGUAAGAAUAAGCACCGGCUAACUACGUGCCAGCAGCCGCGGUAAUACGUAGGGUGCGAGCGUUAACCGGAAUUACUGGGCGUAAAGCGUGCGCAGGCGGUUUUGUAAGACAGAGGUGAAAUCCCCGGGCUCAACCUGGGAACUGCCUUUGUGGCUGCAAGGCUGGAGUGCGGCAGAGGGGGAUGGAAUUCCGCGUGUAGCAGUGAAAUGCGUAGAUAUGCGGAGGAACACCGAUGGCGAAGGCAAUCCCCUGGGCCUGCACUGACGCUCAUGCACGAAAGCGUGGGGAGCAAACA